RNAcentral lists this ribosomal RNA (424 nucleotides) under Verrucomicrobiota bacterium. RNAcentral's name for it is "Verrucomicrobia bacterium partial 16S ribosomal RNA". It matches the Rfam family "Bacterial small subunit ribosomal RNA", at positions 355 to 776 of the family's 1533-position model. Lineage: Bacteria; Pseudomonadati; Verrucomicrobiota. The record is from RNAcentral.
UGAGGAAUAUUGGUCAAUGGACGCAAGUCUGAACCAGCCAAGUAGCGUGCAGGAUGACGGCCCUAUGGGUUGUAAACUGCUUUUAUAUGGGGAUAAAGUGGGGAACGUGUUCCCUUUUGCAGGUACCAUAUGAAUAAGGACCGGCUAAUUCCGUGCCAGCAGCCGCGGUAAUACGGAAGGUUCGGGCGUUAUCCUGAUUUAUUGGGUUUAAAGGGAGCGUAGGCCGUUUGGUAAGCGUGUUGUGAAAUGUAGGAGCUCAACUUCUAGAUUGCAGCGCGAACUGUCAGACUUGAGUGCGCACAACGUAGGCGGAAUUCAUGGUGUAGCGGUGAAAUGCAUAGAUAUCAUGAAGAACUCCGAUUGCGAAGGCAGCUUACGGGAGCGCAACUGACGCUGAAGCUCGAAGGAGCGGGUAUCGAACAGG